Long non-coding RNA from Gasterosteus aculeatus aculeatus (three-spined stickleback), 1264 nucleotides. NCBI's taxonomy places the organism in Eukaryota, Metazoa, Chordata, Actinopteri, Perciformes, Gasterosteidae. The record is from Ensembl.
AAUGUCUUCCUGAAAAGCGCUUAGUAGCGCAAAGGACGCACGAACAUGCUUUGAUCAAGUUUCCAUACCGAGAUUGUGAUCGACGCAAGAUAAACCCCAGUGACACACAUUGCUUCUGCAAAAGAAAGUAUAUAAGCCAAGAUGCUUUAACAGAAAAAAAGAGAGAAAAACGCGCCUACUUCUUGUUUCUUGCUCACACACGAAGACGGAGAGUUCUUUUAACCUUUAGGGUUUGAACGAUAUAACUGCUUUUAUUGUUUUUAUAUUCAAUUUUUGUAAACCUUUUCGCUUUUUUAUAUAAAUAAAAAUUCUCCUUUUUGGGGAACAAAAGACCAUUUGUUUCCGGGGGAUUCCUUUCCACUGAGGGGCCUCCUCCCAGGGGCUGAAUGACAAGAACACCGCUUCGAAACCUGCAGACACCGGUGAGUGCCCUUAUCUUGAUACAUAGAGGUACCAGCAUUCAACCCCUCUGGUCAAUCCCGUACAAAAGCAACACAAACGGUGUCGCCGAAAGGGCUGUGAGAUCAGUUAAGGAAUACAUUCUCACCAACUUAGGCAAAGAUUGGGAUACACCUGAGAAGCUUAUCAUGCUAAACAGACAUAUUUCCCUACCUAAAUUAAAGAGAAGUAUUCCGGAGGGGAAGGGACUAAUCCCGGCUGUUCUGUCAUCCUUUAAUAUAGGCGACACAGUCUGGGUUAGGAGAGGAAAGCAAAACCGCGGAAAGGGACCGAACUACCAUGACCUCCAGGGGACAGACAUGAUAGUAUCCAUCCAACGAAUUGUAUUACUCUCAAAAACGGAGGUAUAGUGCACCCGUCACAAAUACACCUACAUCAUGUCAAAAGUGCUACAGCUGCUAAAACAGAUUAGUUGGUUGAGACGAGCCAAAUUGAAUGAUGAAAGUGUGGGCCAAACCAAAGACGGGUCCUCAGGCUUGACUGGUACCGUAUCAAGGGGACAGAUUGUCAUUUCGGCCACGGAGGAGGGCAUUAAGGUGGGAUAAACCAUCCAGCCACAUCAGUAGGUAAAUACCUGGCCUGGAAAGUUUACAACCCGGAGGAAUGCGUAUUAUGUCACGCCCCCGUAUUCGACUUGGGAAGGGUUAAGAAGGAACCGGCCACAAGACUUCAAAGCACCGGAGGCCCCACCACCUGAAGAUGAUAAUGGGGUGGAGCUUGAAGGUUGCUACAAGUGACUUUUUGCCAUAAGUGCUGGGUGAACCAUAAUCUUAAGUACAACGUAGCAAGAUACGAUCACCCAACU